CUUGGUCAAUUACAAGGGAAACCAAUAUGCGACGGUUGGGACCGGUUAUCAGAUUCCCUGGGAGGGGCGUUCCGACCUGCCAAAUUUCAAGCCGGGUGUGUCCAAGCGUUUUUUCCUUGGGCCGGCCGACUCGAAAAUCGAUCGCGAUUUCAAUGCCCAGUCGUACUGGCUCGACCACCGCUUCUCGUCGAAUCUCUACGUUCAGCUCG
RNAcentral lists this unclassified non-coding RNA (209 nucleotides) under fungal sp. RNAcentral's name for it is "partial internal transcribed spacer region". The record is from RNAcentral. Lineage: Eukaryota; Fungi.